GUUUCAGUUUGGCAACACACAUACUAAAAUGGGAAUGAUACAGAAAAGGUUAGCAUGGCCCCUGUGCAAGGAUGACAUACAUAUUUACAAAAUGUUUCAUAUUUAA
This 106-nucleotide small nuclear RNA is filed under the name Aotus nancymaae (Ma's night monkey). The record is from RNAcentral. Lineage: Eukaryota; Metazoa; Chordata; Mammalia; Primates; Aotidae.